UUAAAUUGAAGAGUUUGAUCAUGGCUCAGAUUGAACGCUGGCGGCAGGCCUAACACAUGCAAGUCGAACGGUAACAGGAAGCAGCUUGCUGCUUCGCUGACGAGUGGCGGACGGGUGAGUAAUGUCUGGGAAACUGCCUGAUGGAGGGGGAUAACUACUGGAAACGGUAGCUAAUACCGCAUAACGUCGCAAGACCAAAGAGGGGGACCUUCGGGCCUCUUGCCAUCGGAUGUGCCCAGAUGGGAUUAGCUAGUAGGUGGGGUAACGGCUCACCUAGGCGACGAUCCCUAGCUGGUCUGAGAGGAUGACCAGCCACACUGGAACUGAGACACGGUCCAGACUCCUACGGGAGGCAGCAGUGGGGAAUAUUGCACAAUGGGCGCAAGCCUGAUGCAGCCAUGCCGCGUGUAUGAAGAAGGCCUUCGGGUUGUAAAGUACUUUCAGCGGGGAGGAAGGUGCUGAGGUUAAUAACCUCAGCAAUUGACGUUACCCGCAGAAGAAGCACCGGCUAACUCCGUGCCAGCAGCCGCGGUAAUACGGAGGGUGCAAGCGUUAAUCGGAAUUACUGGGCGUAAAGCGCACGCAGGCGGUCUGUCAAGUCGGAUGUGAAAUCCCCGGGCUCAACCUGGGAACUGCAUUCGAAACUGGCAGGCUAGAGUCUUGUAGAGGGGGGUAGAAUUCCAGGUGUAGCGGUGAAAUGCGUAGAGAUCUGGAGGAAUACCGGUGGCGAAGGCGGCCCCCUGGACAAAGACUGACGC
This 758-nucleotide ribosomal RNA is filed under the name Enterobacter cloacae subsp. cloacae. RNAcentral describes it as "bacterial SSU rRNA". It matches the Rfam family "Bacterial small subunit ribosomal RNA", at positions 1 to 746 of the family's 1533-position model. Lineage: Bacteria; Pseudomonadati; Pseudomonadota; Gammaproteobacteria; Enterobacterales; Enterobacteriaceae. The record is from RNAcentral.